CACGGGUGUCGGCGGCGGCAGGAACGCCAAGGCCUUCGACGCCUGGGUCGACGGCGUACGGUCGGAGUUCAAGGCCCCGACCAGCGA
Molecule: transfer RNA, 87 nt
Filed under: Streptomyces termitum
Lineage: Bacteria; Bacillati; Actinomycetota; Actinomycetes; Kitasatosporales; Streptomycetaceae
Description: tRNA-Arg
Source: RNAcentral